ACUCUUGAAGAGAAUUCUUUGAGGAUUAAUGAAGACAGCAACCAAAAAUGAAGUUUUCCAUGAGCAUGCUCACAGCCUGACUGCCUCCCAAGCCAUGUUCCCCAGCUACGGUUGGAGAAUGUCUUCAAAGAAAUCCAGUCAACCUCUUUUGAUUUUGGCCACAGCUGCAUACUGAGCAUUGAGUAGUCGCCUUGUCUCUCGCCUUUCUCUUCUCCCUAGUGAAGAACAAAAAUAAACACAAUAAGCCUUCUACAAGGCUGUGCUCAGUGGCACACACCUGGAGUCCCAGCAUCGAGGAGUGGAUGGGGAGAGUCAGGGGUUGUUCAAGGUCAUCCUCAGUUACAAAGUGAGGCUGAAGCCAACCUGGGCUACACGAGGCCUUGUUCCAAGAAACCAAAACUAAACAAAUGCAUGGACAAAGAAACGAACAAAGAAAAAUGAAUCUUACAUAAAAUAUGGGUCCUAGAAAAGAACUGGUUGAGCCCUUUGGGUGCCACUCCCUGCAUUACUUAAAUAUGAGGGGAUCUUCUGCCUCAUGAAUCACCCCAUACCUGCCUGCCCACACCCACAUUUCCCCCCACGAAACACUUCUUACCCA
RNAcentral lists this long non-coding RNA (598 nucleotides) under Mus musculus (house mouse). Its description in RNAcentral is "alncRNA-EC59". Lineage: Eukaryota; Metazoa; Chordata; Mammalia; Rodentia; Muridae. The record is from RNAcentral.